This is a long non-coding RNA of Bos taurus (domestic cattle), 388 nucleotides long. The record is from Ensembl. Lineage: Eukaryota; Metazoa; Chordata; Mammalia; Artiodactyla; Bovidae.
CUACCUGCCUCCUCACUCAGCUCUACCUACACUGAAUGUCUGCUUCUCUGAUUGGUGGUUCCCAAAAUGUGGUCCUUGGUCCAGCAGCAUCAGCACCCCCUGAAACUGAUCUUCAUAUGAUUAUACCCUUAUCAUUCAAGCCUCAACUCAAUUUAUUUCCUCACAGAAGCCUUCCCUGAACACUCUAACUAGAGUUACCCUCUGACCUAAGAGACUCGACUUUUCAAGAACACAGAGGAGAAAUAGAUACGAACCCUGUCUUUAAGAAGCUAAACGUUUAAUCUGGUGGCUGAGACAUGUACAAAGACAGACAAUGCUAAAGAAGCGUAUGUGUUGAUAUUUAUUCCUGUUUCUUCGUGAAGCACCUCCUUGGUGCCUUACAUAAAAU